Molecule: ribosomal RNA, 490 nt
Filed under: uncultured bacterium
Lineage: Bacteria
Description: partial 16S ribosomal RNA
Rfam family: Bacterial small subunit ribosomal RNA
Source: RNAcentral
AGUGAACGCUGGCGGUAGGCCUAACACAUGCAAGUCGAACGGCAGCACAGGAGAGCUUGCUCUCUGGGUGGCGAGUGGCGGACGGGUGAGGAAUACAUCGGAAUCUGCCCAGUCGUGGGGGAUAACGUAGGGAAACUUACGCUAAUACCGCAUACGACCUUCGGGUGAAAGAGGGGGAUCGCAAGACCUCUCGCGAUUGGAUGAGCCGAUGUCGGAUUAGCUAGUUGGCGGGGUAAUGGCCCACCAAGGCGACGAUCCGUAGCUGGUCUGAGAGGAUGAUCAGCCACACUGGAACUGAGACACGGUCCAGACUCCUACGGGAGUCAGCAGUGGGGAAUAUUGGACAAUGGGCGCAAGCCUGAUCCAGCCAUACCGCGUGGGUGAAGAAGGCCUUCGGGUUGUAAAGCCCUUUUGUUGGGAAAGAAAUCUUUCAGGCUAAUACCCUGGGAGGAUGACGGUACCCAAAGAAUAAGCACCGGCUAACUUCGUG